This 73-nucleotide transfer RNA is filed under the name Acropora cervicornis. RNAcentral's name for it is "tRNA-Arg". It matches the Rfam family "tRNA". Rfam says of the family: Transfer RNA (tRNA) molecules are approximately 80 nucleotides in length. Their secondary structure includes four short double-helical elements and three loops (D, anti-codon, and T loops). Further hydrogen bonds mediate the characteristic L-shaped molecular structure. tRNAs have two regions of fundamental functional importance: the anti-codon, which is responsible for specific mRNA codon recognition, and the 3' end, to which the tRNAs corresponding amino acid is attached (by aminoacyl-tRNA synthetases). tRNAs cope with the degeneracy of the genetic code in two manners: having more than one tRNA (with a specific anti-codon) for a particular amino acid; and 'wobble' base-pairing, i.e. permitting non-standard base-pairing at the 3rd anti-codon position. Lineage: Eukaryota; Metazoa; Cnidaria; Anthozoa; Scleractinia; Acroporidae. The record is from RNAcentral.
GGCCUCGUGGCUUAAUGGAGAAGGCGUCUGACUUCGGAUCAGAAGAUUCCAGGUUCGAGCCCUGGCCGGGUCG